CAAAAGCGUAUAUUAAAGUUGUUGCAGUUAAAAAGCUCGUAGUUGAACCUUGGGCUUGGCUGGCCGGUCCAUCUUUUUUGAUGCGUACUGGACCCAGCCGAGCCUUUCCUUCUGGCUAGCCUUUUGGCGAACCAGGACUUUUACUUUGAAAAAAUUAGAGUGUUCAAAGCAGGCCUUUGCUCGAAUAUAUUAGCAUGGAAUAAUAGAAUAGGACGUUAUGGUUCUAUUUUGUUGGUUUCUAGGACCAUCGUAAUGAUUAAUAGGGACGGUCGGGGGUAUCAGUAUUCAGUUGUCAGAGGUGAAAUUCUUGGAUUUUUGGAAGACGAACUACUGCGAAAGCAUUUACCAAGGAUGUUUUCAUUAA
Molecule: ribosomal RNA, 364 nt
Filed under: uncultured eukaryote
Lineage: Eukaryota
Description: partial 18S ribosomal RNA
Rfam family: Eukaryotic small subunit ribosomal RNA
Source: RNAcentral